RNAcentral lists this ribosomal RNA (419 nucleotides) under uncultured archaeon. Its description in RNAcentral is "partial 16S ribosomal RNA". It matches the Rfam family "Archaeal small subunit ribosomal RNA", at positions 323 to 746 of the family's 1478-position model. The record is from RNAcentral.
CUACGGGAGGCAGCAGUCGAGGAAAUUUUACAAUGCUCGCAAGAGUGAUAAAAUAAACCAGAGUGUUUCUCCUAGAGAAACUUUUGCCUAAUGUAAAAAGUUAGGCGAAUAAGGACUGGGCAAGACCGGUGCCAGCCGCCGCGGUAAUACCGGCGGUCCAAGUCGUAUCCACAUUUAUUGGGUCUAAAACAUUCGUAGCUUGUUUAACAAGUUUCUUGUGAAAUCUGACAUCUCAGUGUCAGGCGUGCAAGAAAUACUGUUUUACUAGAGACCGGAAGAUGCAAAGAGUAUGAUUAAGGUAGCGGUAAAAUGUGUUAAUCUUAAUCAGACUAACAAUGGCGAAGGCACUUUGCAAGUACGGAUCUGACAGUGAGGAAUGAAGGCCAGGGGCGCAAAAGGGAUUAGAUACCCGAGUAGUC